CUCUUCUCGAACCCGGCAGUUAAGCCCACCCGCGCCGAGGGUACUUGGGGGGUAGCCCCCUGGGAGAUUAGGUCGAUGCCAACU
Molecule: ribosomal RNA, 84 nt
Filed under: Anaerolineae bacterium
Lineage: Bacteria; Bacillati; Chloroflexota; Anaerolineae
Source: RNAcentral